This 253-nucleotide ribosomal RNA is filed under the name uncultured bacterium. RNAcentral describes it as "partial 16S ribosomal RNA". It matches the Rfam family "Bacterial small subunit ribosomal RNA", at positions 524 to 776 of the family's 1533-position model. The record is from RNAcentral.
UUCGAAGGGGGCUAUCGUUGUUCGGAAUUACUGGGCGUAAAGCGCGUGUAGGCGGGCCGUUAAGUCGGGGGUGAAAGCCCAGAGCUCAACUCUGGAAUUGCCUUCGAUACUGGCGGCCUGGAGCAUGAUAGAGGCGAGUGGAAUUGCGAGUGUAGAGGUGAAAUUCGUAGAUAUUCGCAGGAACACCAGUGGCGAAGGCGACUCGCUGGAUCAUUGCUGACGCUGAGACGCGAAAGCGUGGGGAGAAAACAGG